This is a long non-coding RNA of Canis lupus familiaris (dog), 853 nucleotides long. RefSeq lists it as uncharacterized. Lineage: Eukaryota; Metazoa; Chordata; Mammalia; Carnivora; Canidae. The record is from RefSeq and is a predicted model, not a curated record. The transcript has 3 exons.
CCCCGCGCCCCGCGCCUGCGCAGUCGUACUGGCUCCUUCGUCGGGAGAACGGAACCACCGCCUUCGGCCGCACGCAGGCGCAGUCACUCAGGCCCGUCCUGGCAAAGGCCCUGGCUUGGGGACCAGCGCCCCGCGCAGGCGCACUCCACGGGCCCGCCUUCGUGCGCGCCGACGCUGCGUGAGAACUACUUGGUCAUCUGCUCCCGUGACAACUGGAGGCCGCGGUGACGUCAUUUCGCCCAGAGGAGGCUGAGGUUGAGAUGGGGUGACGUCAGCGUCGCCCCCGCGGGCCGCCCGGGGCUGCAGGUGGGGGCGCUGCGGUCCCGGGAGAGCAGAAUAACACCCAGUGCUCAUCCCGUCAAGCUGCAAAGGGGGCACCCGGGGGCUCGGGUGGCUCAGCCUCUGCCUUGGGCCCAGGUCGUGACCCUCGGGCCCUGGGAUGAGCCCCCCACGUCGGCUCCUAGCCCCAUCUUCCGCUCUCUCUGUCUCAAAUAAAUAAAAUAUUAAAAAAAAAAAAAAAGCAGAUGUUUCCACUUUCACUACUUGUACUCAACAUUUUUUAGGGAAUCCCGGCCAGCACAGUAGUAGGCUAGUGAAGCAGUAACUAAAAGGAAUAACUGUCAGAACAAAAUUGUGUGCCUUCACAGCUGAGCAGGUUGUUUGCACAAAACAGCCUAAGGAAUCACGGAACGAUUAGAAUACAUAGGUGCAUUUAGCAAGAUUGUAGGAUAAAGAUCGACAUAGGAAAAUAAGUGUAUUUCUUUAGAGGCGCCUGGUGGCUCAGCCUGUUGAACAUCUGACUCUCGGUGUCAGCUCAGGUCCUGAUCUCAGGGUCACGGGAUCAAGCCCUGUG